CAGUCGCCACGGGAAUACGUAGGGUGCGAGCGUUAAUCGGAAUUACUGGGCGUAAAGCGUGCGCAGGCGGUUUUGUAAGACAGGCGUGAAAUCCCCGGGCUCAACCUGGGAAUGGCGCUUGUGACUGCAAAGCUAGAGUGCGGCAGAGGGGGAUGGAAUUCCGCGUGUAGCAGUGAAAUGCGUAGAUAUGCGGAGGAACACCGAUGGCGAAGGCAAUCCCCUGGGCCUGCACUGACGCUCAUGCACGAAAGCGUGGGGAGCAAACAGGAUUAGAUACCCGUGUAGUCCCUGUCUCUUAUAC
Molecule: ribosomal RNA, 301 nt
Filed under: uncultured bacterium
Lineage: Bacteria
Description: partial 16S ribosomal RNA
Rfam family: Bacterial small subunit ribosomal RNA
Source: RNAcentral